Xiphophorus hellerii (green swordtail) is the source of this 347-nucleotide long non-coding RNA. RefSeq lists it as uncharacterized. NCBI's taxonomy places the organism in Eukaryota, Metazoa, Chordata, Actinopteri, Cyprinodontiformes, Poeciliidae. The transcript has 3 exons. The record is from RefSeq and is a predicted model, not a curated record.
AUAUUAUUUUUAUUGCAGUUCGCGCUUUAGCGUUACCUUCAGCUAAAUACUGUGUUGGUAUAGCACUUUAGUUUAACUUCCUCUAAGUACCAUGUUAGUAAAAUGCCUUAACAUUAACUUCCAUUAAAUACCACGUUUGUAAAAUGCUUUAGCGUUAGCUUCUGAUAAAUACUGUGCCGGUAUAGAGCAUUUUGUGAAAUGCUCUAUACCGGCACUAGUGGAAGCUAGUGCCUUAACAUUAGCUUCCACAAAAUAGUGCAUUGGUGUAGCACUUUAGCUUCCACUAAAUAUUGUGCUGAUAUACUGCUUUUGCUUUAUCUUGUAUUAAAUACUGUGUUGGUAUAGUG